This 253-nucleotide ribosomal RNA is filed under the name uncultured bacterium. Its description in RNAcentral is "partial 16S ribosomal RNA". It matches the Rfam family "Bacterial small subunit ribosomal RNA", at positions 524 to 776 of the family's 1533-position model. The record is from RNAcentral.
UACGUAGGUGACCAGCGUUGUCCGGAUUUACUGGGCGUAAAGAGCGCGCAGGCGGUCGUUCAAGUCGAGUGUGAAAGCCCCCGGCUCAACUGGGGAGGGUCAUUCGAUACUGAUCGACUCGAAGGCAGGAGAGGGAAGUGGAAUUCCCGGUGUAGUGGUGAAAUGCGUAGAUAUCAGGAGGAACACCGGUGGCGAAAGCGCUCAUCUGGCCCAAUACUGACGCUGAGGCGCGAAAGCUAGGGGAGCAAACGGG